UACGUAGGGUGCGAGCGUUAAUCGGAAUUACUGGGCGUAAAGCGUGCGCAGGCGGUUCGCCAAGUCAGGUGUGAAAUCCCCGGGCUUAACCUGGGAAUUGCGCUUGAAACUAGCGGGCUUGAGUGUGGCAGAGGGAGGUGGAAUUCCACGUGUAGCAGUGAAAUGCGUAGAGAUGUGGAGGAACACCGAUGGCGAAGGCAGCCCCCUGGGUCAACACUGACGCUCAUGCACGAAAGCGUGGGGAGCAAACAGG
RNAcentral lists this ribosomal RNA (253 nucleotides) under uncultured bacterium. RNAcentral's name for it is "partial 16S ribosomal RNA". It matches the Rfam family "Bacterial small subunit ribosomal RNA", at positions 524 to 776 of the family's 1533-position model. The record is from RNAcentral.